This 386-nucleotide ribosomal RNA is filed under the name Chlorellales sp. RNAcentral's name for it is "partial small subunit ribosomal RNA". It matches the Rfam family "Eukaryotic small subunit ribosomal RNA", at positions 582 to 975 of the family's 1831-position model. The record is from RNAcentral. Lineage: Eukaryota; Viridiplantae; Chlorophyta; Trebouxiophyceae; Chlorellales.
AUUCCAGCUCCAAUAGCGUAUAUUUAAGUUGCUGCAGUUAAAAAGCUCGUAGUUGGAUUUCGGGUGGGAAUGGCCGGUCCGCCGUUUCGGUGUGCACUUGCUACGCCCACCUUGCUGCCGGGGACGUGCUCUUGAGUUUGCGCUCGGGACACGGAGUCGGCGAGGUUACUUUGAGUAAAUUAGAGUGUUCAAAGCAGGCCUACGCUCUGAAUACAUUAGCAUGGAAUAACACGAUAGGACUCUGGCCUAUCUUGUUGGUCUGUUGGACCGGAGUAAUGAUUAAGAGGGACAGUCGGGGGCAUUCGUAUUCCGCCGAGAGAGGUGAAAUUCUCAGACCAGCGGAAGACGAACCACUGCGAAAGCAUCUGCCAGGGAUGUUUUCAUUA